CAGCAGCCACGGUAAUACGUAGGGUGCGAGCGUUAAUCGGAAUUACUGGGCGUAAAGCGUGCGCAGGCGGUUAUAUAAGACAGAUGUGAAAUCCCCGGGCUCAACCUGGGACCUGCAUUUGUGACUGUAUAGCUAGAGUACGGUAGAGGGGGAUGGAAUUCCGCGUGUAGCAGUGAAAUGCGUAGAUAUGCGGAGGAACACCGAUGGCGAAGGCAAUCCCCUGGACCUGUACUGACGCUCAUGCACGAAAGCGUGGGGAGCAAACAGGAUUAGAUACCCCAGUAGUCCCUGUCUCUUAUAC
Molecule: ribosomal RNA, 301 nt
Filed under: uncultured bacterium
Lineage: Bacteria
Description: partial 16S ribosomal RNA
Rfam family: Bacterial small subunit ribosomal RNA
Source: RNAcentral